CUAGCAGUGCUCAACACCAUAGUUCUCUCUAUUUACAGAGCAGAUGCAGCAUAGAUAGCAGCUGUGCCAACUUCCCCACAACACCCCCAGCCAGUGUGCCUCAAAUUUGACCUGGAAGGACCAGUCCUAGGGAAGAGAGGACAGGCCCCACUUCUGUGGCCCUUCUGGUCCUUUGCAUUG
RNAcentral lists this small RNA (180 nucleotides) under Crocodylus porosus (Australian saltwater crocodile). Its description in RNAcentral is "TUC338 (ENSCPRG00005004638.1)". The record is from RNAcentral. Lineage: Eukaryota; Metazoa; Chordata; Crocodylia; Crocodylidae.